AAAAAAAGAGAGCAGGGAUAUGGGAUGAUAGUCAGAAGAGGACGGGUCAAGAGAUGUUAUUUUUAGGAUGGUAGCAUGUUUAGGGGCAGCAGGAAAGUCUGAAAGGUAGGAAAGGCAUGAUCAAGGUGUGGCUGAGAAAGAAAAAGGCAAGGUGGGAAGAAUUCAUUCCUAAGCUUUAAGAUAGACAGAGAUAAGUAGGCUGACAAAGAAAGAGAGCGUGUGAGAGAAACAAACACAGAAACACAGAAAAACAGAGAGACACCCAGAGACACAGGCAGGCUCAGAGAGGACAGGGGAUAUAGUAAAACAGUAUAUAGCAGAAUAGUAAGUCAGAAUAGUUACGUAUCCUAAGUUAAUGUAUAGCAGCUUCCUCUCACGAUAUUCUAAACAGUAUCCCAUACAUCAAAUAUCGCCAAACAGAAUAUAGAGGGUACAGCUGAUUAUCUACAGAAAAUACACAGUAUAAUAGUGUAAUACAGCAAAAGUUCAGUAAUUGUGCGCCAGAUUCAAUUGCACUCACAUGAUGAAGACUUAAAAUGACCUCAGGGUGCCUCCCCUUAGAUAGUUGGGGGGCUGAUC
Non-coding RNA from Pelobates cultripes (western spadefoot toad), 579 nucleotides. Lineage: Eukaryota; Metazoa; Chordata; Amphibia; Anura; Pelobatidae. The record is from the annotation of a GenBank genome assembly.